RNAcentral lists this ribosomal RNA (690 nucleotides) under Pantoea anthophila. RNAcentral describes it as "bacterial SSU rRNA". It matches the Rfam family "Bacterial small subunit ribosomal RNA", at positions 79 to 765 of the family's 1533-position model. RNAcentral also lists the same sequence under 1 other name. Lineage: Bacteria; Pseudomonadati; Pseudomonadota; Gammaproteobacteria; Enterobacterales; Erwiniaceae. The record is from RNAcentral.
GCUCCUCGGGUGACGAGUGGCGGACGGGUGAGUAAUGUCUGGGGAUCUGCCCGAUAGAGGGGGAUAACCACUGGAAACGGUGGCUAAUACCGCAUAACGUCGCAAGACCAAAGAGGGGGACCUUCGGGCCUCUCACUAUCGGAUGAACCCAGAUGGGAUUAGCUAGUAGGCGGGGUAACGGCCCACCUAGGCGACGAUCCCUAGCUGGUCUGAGAGGAUGACCAGCCACACUGGAACUGAGACACGGUCCAGACUCCUACGGGAGGCAGCAGUGGGGAAUAUUGCACAAUGGGCGCAAGCCUGAUGCAGCCAUGCCGCGUGUAUGAAGAAGGCCUUCGGGUUGUAAAGUACUUUCAGCGGGGAGGAAGGCAGUGAGGUUAAUAACCUUACUGAUUGACGUUACCCGCAGAAGAAGCACCGGCUAACUCCGUGCCAGCAGCCGCGGUAAUACGGAGGGUGCAAGCGUUAAUCGGAAUUACUGGGCGUAAAGCGCACGCAGGCGGUCUGUUAAGUCAGAUGUGAAAUCCCCGGGCUUAACCUGGGAACUGCAUUUGAAACUGGCAGGCUUGAGUCUCGUAGAGGGGGGUAGAAUUCCAGGUGUAGCGGUGAAAUGCGUAGAGAUCUGGAGGAAUACCGGUGGCGAAGGCGGCCCCCUGGACGAAGACUGACGCUCAGGUGCGAAAGCGUGGG